UUCGGCGAGGCCCGCGUGACGAUGCGCAAGACGGCGGCGAAGGCCAAGCCGGCGGCGGCGUCCGGCAGCCCGUGGUACGGCCCCGACCGCGUGCUCUACCUGGGCCCGCUCUCCGGCGAGCCCCCGAGCUACCUGACUGGCGAGUUCCCCGGCGACUACGGCUGGGACACGGCCGGGCUGUCGGCGGACCCCGAGACGUUCGCCAAGAACCGGGAGCUGGAGGUGAUCCACUCCCGCUGGGCCAUGCUCGGCGCGCUCGGCUGCGUGUUCCCGGAGCUGCUCGCCCGCAACGGCGUCAAGUUCGGCGAGGCCGUGUGGUUCAAGGCGGGUUCGCAGAUCUUCAGCGAGGGCGGGCUGGACUACCUGGGCAACCCGAGCCUGAUCCACGCGCAGAGCAUCCUCGCCAUCUGGGCCUGCCAGGUCGUGCUCAUGGGCGCCGUCGAGGGGUACCGCAUCGCCGGCGGCCCACUCGGCGAGGUCGUCGACCCGCUCUACCCCGGCGGCAGCUUCGACCCACUCGGCCUCGCCGACGACCCCGAGGCCUUCGCCGAGCUCAAGGUGAAGGAGCUCAAGAACGGCCGCCUUGCCAUGUUCUCCAUGUUCGGAUUCUUCGUCCAGGCCAUCGUCACCGGCAAGGGCCCGCUCGAGAACCUCGCCGACCACCUCGCCGACCCCGUCAACAACAACGCCUGGGCCUACGCCACCAACUUCGUGCCCGGCAAGUGAGGAGGUGUCCGGAUGCAUGUGAGCGCGCGCGCGCAC
RNAcentral lists this long non-coding RNA (762 nucleotides) under Sorghum bicolor (sorghum). Its description in RNAcentral is "long non-coding RNA (SBIC_LNC016779)". The record is from RNAcentral. Lineage: Eukaryota; Viridiplantae; Streptophyta; Magnoliopsida; Poales; Poaceae.